UCGCUUAGCUGUGAUGAAAUCGUCACCUACCUCCUUGCUGGUCUCGGUCAUGAUUAUGAUCCUUUUGUUACAACAAUUUCUGCUCGCAAAGAUCCUGUUACGCUGGAAGAAGUCUACUCUCUUCUUUUAACUACAGAGU
Juglans microcarpa x Juglans regia is the source of this 139-nucleotide small nucleolar RNA. RefSeq annotates it as small nucleolar RNA Z247. Lineage: Eukaryota; Viridiplantae; Streptophyta; Magnoliopsida; Fagales; Juglandaceae. The record is from RefSeq and is a predicted model, not a curated record. The transcript has a single exon.